This 197-nucleotide unclassified non-coding RNA is filed under the name uncultured Ascomycota. Its description in RNAcentral is "sequence contains ITS1". The record is from RNAcentral. Lineage: Eukaryota; Fungi; Ascomycota.
CAGAGUUAUCUAAACUCCCAAACCCAUGUGAACUUACCUCUUGUUGCCUCGGCAGCGCCUACCCUGUAGCCAGUUACCCUGUAGCGAGUUACCCUGUGACGACCUACCCUGUAGCGACCUACCCUGUAGCGCCUGCCGGUGGACUACUAAACUCUUGUUAUUUUUAAGUAAUCUGAGCGUCUUAUUUUAAUAAGUCA